GCUCCCCGGGGCUGAGUCCAGCUGGAGCCACUUUCCUCCACACAUUCGAGGCCCGGGGCCCCAGUCUGCUGAGUCAUGUGGCCCCUGAGUGCCGAGCUCAUACAAGCCACCUGUGAAUGACCACACGGGAAACAUUUCAGGAAACCAACGUCCCAAGCUGAGGCUGGUGUGACAGACUGGCUUCUGACCAGCGGAGAUGAGACGCACCAGCGGUCCAUCCCUGACGGUAAAGCUGGAACACGGUGAGGUGAAGAGGCAGGCGCUCAGUGGACGGAGUCCAGAAAACAAGGGAUGGAAACAUGGAUCCUGAAGGCAGCGUGACGUCACAUCCGGCGCGGCUGAGCUGUGACCUGGAACUGAGGAGUGCACCUGCGCAGG
Long non-coding RNA from Synchiropus splendidus (mandarinfish), 378 nucleotides. RefSeq lists it as uncharacterized. The transcript has 3 exons. The record is from RefSeq and is a predicted model, not a curated record. NCBI's taxonomy places the organism in Eukaryota, Metazoa, Chordata, Actinopteri, Syngnathiformes, Callionymidae.